GUUUGUCGGCAGUGCUCGCAGGGGGUGACUGUACCGUUGGACAGAGGAUUUCCUUUGUUUGUACGAGAAGACGUGAUUCAGAAACGUUUCCUCAUGGGGCUGUUCAGAGGAUCGUCUAUGCAGUGUGAUGCGACUCAGUGUACAGGUUACUUCACAGCUGCCUCGACAUACUCACGAAAUGGGUGCAGAACCUGCGUAACGCCCAGAAACUUUGAUUACCAUAGCGCCUCCAGAAAGUAAACGCAUAUGUGUCACGUGGGAUUUUUAAAGGAAACGAUCGCCACAUAUCAUGAAACACGCGGGGACUUUUCAAACCGUCAAGCAUCUACUCCGAUAGCCUGUCAGUAUAGCAGUACGACCCCUCUUUGUGCAUCGGAAAACCCGAAAGAGAGCUCAUGAACGUCCUUGUGAAUCGAGUGACGGUGUAGAACAAAGUGUAGGCAUCUAUAGACCAACUCAAGAGAGGUCU
Ornithodoros turicata is the source of this 469-nucleotide long non-coding RNA. RefSeq lists it as uncharacterized. NCBI's taxonomy places the organism in Eukaryota, Metazoa, Arthropoda, Arachnida, Ixodida, Argasidae. The record is from RefSeq and is a predicted model, not a curated record. The transcript has 4 exons.